GAAGACUUCAUUGCCGAUCUUGACAGGACGUUAGCAAGUAUGUGAAGCAAGGAGUCCAGGGUCCAUAGGCCACAACAGUGAGACUCCCGAAGGCUCCAAGCACCUGGCAAAAUCAGCUACUAGAAUCAGCUGCAGGAGGGGACGAAGCUAAGGCUCACACGCCAUCAGGCUGUUCUUGGCUCACCCUAACAUUUGCCAUCUGGCCCAUCUCUGGGCAACUCAGACAGCAAAACUGACUUUAUUUACCUGCCUGCAGCAUGUUUCAGCAGAUGAUCUGUCUAAUGUGUUUUUACUCCUUAAACAUAACUCUUCUAUAAUUUAAAAUGCGUUUAUGGAAAUAUUUGUAAUUACUUAUAUAUAGUUGGAGACAAUAAUAAGCUUUUCCCAUUAUAAUAUAUUUUUGUAUACAAAUAAAGUUUAAGCUGGAAU
Long non-coding RNA from Microtus ochrogaster (prairie vole), 429 nucleotides. RefSeq lists it as uncharacterized. Lineage: Eukaryota; Metazoa; Chordata; Mammalia; Rodentia; Cricetidae. The record is from RefSeq and is a predicted model, not a curated record. The transcript has 2 exons.